GGCGAUCAGAUACCGCCCUAGUUCUGACCGUAAACGAUGCCAACUAGCGAUCCKCCAGUCGACUCAUCGCUCUGGUGGGGAGCUUCCCGGAAACSAAAGUCUUCCGGUUCCGGGGGAAGUAUGGUUGCAAAGCUGAAACUUAAAGGAAUUGACGGAAGGGCACCACCAGGAGUGGAGCCUGCGGCUUAAUUUGACUCAACACGGGGAAACUCACCCGGCCCGGACACCGUAAGGAUUGACAGAUUGAUAGCUUUUUCAUGAUUCGGUGGAUGGUGGUGCAUGGCCGUUCUUAGUUCGUGGAGCGAUUUGUCUGGUUUAUUCCGAUAACGAGCGAGACUCUGGCCUACUAAAUAGUUGACGCAUUGCCACUGUGCGCACAACUUCUUAGAGGGAUUUUCGGUGUUUUCAACCGCACGAAAUUGAGCAAUAACAGGUCUGUGAUGCCCUUAGAUGUCCGGGGCUGCACGCGCGCUACACUGGCAAACGCAACGUGCCUGUCCUGCCCCGAAAGGAGCGGGUAAACCCCUGAAAUUUUGCCGUGAUUGGGAUCGGACAUUGCAACUAUUGUCCGUGAACGAGGAAUUCCUUGUAGGGGCGAGUCAUCAACUCGUCCCGAAUACGUCCCUGCCCUUUGUA
Molecule: ribosomal RNA, 636 nt
Filed under: Rotylenchulus reniformis
Lineage: Eukaryota; Metazoa; Nematoda; Chromadorea; Rhabditida; Hoplolaimidae
Description: SSU rRNA
Rfam family: Eukaryotic small subunit ribosomal RNA
Source: RNAcentral